Molecule: long non-coding RNA, 493 nt
Filed under: Bos taurus (domestic cattle)
Lineage: Eukaryota; Metazoa; Chordata; Mammalia; Artiodactyla; Bovidae
Description: long non-coding RNA NONBTAT023836
Source: RNAcentral
GAUUUGGGAUAUACUAGACCCUCAUUGUAACUCUAGGUAUGAACAACAUAUAAUUUAGUUACAAAGUAGAUCCCUUUAAAGCAGGUUAGCAACUGAAGUUUCAAAAGAACUUCUUUAUUCUAAAGAGGUCUUAUCUCCAGAGUGCUUCACAGCAUAAACCCUGAAGACAUGAGCGUAACACAAAUCUAGUGUGUGUAUAUUACAGACUCAGGAUACUCCCAACAAUAACCACAGAAAACAACUCUUUUAUGAACCAAACACCCCACUGUGUGUAUUAUGACUAACGGGCUCAAUCAGAAAUAAAUUACUUUGUUCACCCUCUUCCUGCAUAGUAGCUUAACAACUAGUUGGUAUGUACACUACCUACAGCAUUAUUUAAAUAAAUUGCUUCUGUAAGCAUAUAUGUAGAAAUUCCCAUUAGCAACUGAUAUACAUUUCAUAUGAGAUACAAUACAUAAACACAUUUGAAUGCCCAGCACCUUCUUUCAGACAG